Molecule: ribosomal RNA, 420 nt
Filed under: uncultured bacterium
Lineage: Bacteria
Description: bacterial SSU rRNA
Rfam family: Bacterial small subunit ribosomal RNA
Source: RNAcentral
GAGGAAUAUUGGUCAAUGGACGAGAGUCUGAACCAGCCAAGUAGCGUGCAGGAUGACGGCCCUAUGGGUUGUAAACUGCUUUUAUAAGGGAAUAAAGUGAGUCUCGUGAGACUUUUUGCAUGUACCUUAUGAAUAAGGACCGGCUAAUUCCGUGCCAGCAGCCGCGGUAAUACGGAAGGUCCGGGCGUUAUCCGGAUUUAUUGGGUUUAAAGGGAGCGUAGGCCGGAGAUUAAGCGUGUUGUGAAAUGUAGACGCUCAACGUCUGCACUGCAGCGCGAACUGGUUUCCUUGAGUACGCACAAAGUGGGCGGAAUUCGUGGUGUAGCGGUGAAAUGCUUAGAUAUCACGAAGAACUCCGAUUGCGAAGGCAGCUCACUGGAGCGCAACUGACGCUGAAGCUCGAAAGUGCGGGUAUCGAAC